AAACAACCAUGCUCACUUUAUUGCCUUUCAUAAUAGUGAUUAUCCAAUGUGUACCUUUCAUUUUCUUUGUGAAACAUGAUUGUUUUGGAUUAUAACUUUAUAAAGGCAUUUCCUAGUUCCAAAAACUAAUGAAAAUUAAAUGGCACAUAGUAAACGAGAUAAUUAUUUGACACAAAUGAGUUUGAGUGAACUCAACAGAAAAUGUAGAAUAUGUGUUUGCCUGGGGUUAUUGAACAAAAUAGGAUGCUGCUCCAUUAGAAAGAGUAGCACACAGAUUACCAAGUGCAACAAAAUUAAGAAAAUUACGCUAUUAUCUCUCAGUACAUAC
Molecule: long non-coding RNA, 328 nt
Filed under: Zea mays
Lineage: Eukaryota; Viridiplantae; Streptophyta; Magnoliopsida; Poales; Poaceae
Description: long non-coding RNA NONZMAT001161
Source: RNAcentral